This 416-nucleotide ribosomal RNA is filed under the name uncultured Bacillota bacterium. RNAcentral's name for it is "bacterial SSU rRNA". It matches the Rfam family "Bacterial small subunit ribosomal RNA", at positions 338 to 774 of the family's 1533-position model. Lineage: Bacteria; Bacillati; Bacillota. The record is from RNAcentral.
CCUACGGGAGGCAGCAGUGGGGAAUUUUGCGCAAUGGGGGAAACCCUGACGCAGCAACGCCGCGUGAGCGAAGAAGGCCUUCGGGUCGUAAAGCUCUGUCUUAGGGGAAGAAAUCUGACGGUACCCUAAAAGGAAGCCCCGGCUAACUACGUGCCAGCAGCCGCGGUAAAACGUAGGGGGCGAGCGUUGUCCGGAUUUACUGGGCGUAAAGGGCGUGUAGGCGGCCCGUUAAGUCAGUGUGAAAUCCCGCAGCCUAACUGCGGUCAUGCACUUGAAACUGGCGGGCUUGAGGGCAGGAGAGGGAAGUGGAAUUCCCGGUGUAGCGGUGAAAUGCGUAGAUAUCGGGAGGACACCAGUGGCGAAGCGGCUUCCUGGCCUGGCCCUGACGCUGAGCGCGAAAGCGUGGGGAGCAAACA